GUCUAUUUGAAGAUAUAAAUAGUCUGGUCUGCUCACUGACAAAUAAUUGUUUAAGAGCCGCGGUAUAUUGACCGUGCAAAGGUAGCAUAAUCAUUAGUUUUUUAAUUGGGAACUUGUAUGAAGGAUCGGACAAAGGAAAAGCUGUCUCUAUUUUAGAAAUUGAAAUUAACUUUUAAGUGAAAAGGCUUAAAUAAUUCAGGGGGACGAUAAGACCCUAUAAAGCUUUAUGUGUUAAUUAAGUUUAAUUGAAUUAUUAAACAAUAAUAAUUUGAUUUAGUUGUCAUAUUUUAUUGGGGCGAUAUAAGUAAAAUUUUUCUAACUACUUAGAGUUAAUACAAUGAUAGGUGGGAGAAGUUUUUAGUUGAUCCUUUGUUUAAGAUUAGAAGACUAAGUUACUUUAGGGAUAACAGCGUAAUUUCUUUUGAGAGUCCAUAUCGAAAAAGAAGUUUGCGACCUCGAUGUUGAAUUAAAAUGUCUGUAUGAUGUAGCCGUUAUAUAAGAUGGUCUGUUCGACCUUUAAAAUUUU
Molecule: ribosomal RNA, 526 nt
Filed under: Ozius reticulatus
Lineage: Eukaryota; Metazoa; Arthropoda; Malacostraca; Decapoda; Oziidae
Description: partial 16S ribosomal RNA
Rfam family: Bacterial large subunit ribosomal RNA
Source: RNAcentral